CCUACGGGCGGCAGCAGUGGGGAAUAUUGCGCAAUGGGCGAAAGCCUGACGCAGCGACGCCGCGUGAGGGAUGAAGGCCCUCGGAUCGUAAACCUCUGUUAGUAGGGAAGUACGGUCACUGUGCUAAUCAGCAGUGAAUUGACGGUACCUGCAAAGGUAGCACCGGCUAACUCCGUCCCAGCAGCGGCGGUAAUACGGAGGGUGCGAGCGUUAAUCGGAAUUACUGGGCGUAAAGCGUUAGUAGGCGGUAUGUCAAGUCAAGGGUGAAAUCCCCGCGCUCAACGUGGGAACUGCCUUUGAAACUGGCAGACUGGAGUGUGUGAGAGGAUAGUGGAAUUCCAGGUGUAGGGGUGAAAUGCGUAGAUAUCUGGAAGAACAUCAGUGGCGAAGGCGACUAUCUGGCACAUAACUGACGCUGAGGAGCGAAAGCGUGGGUAGCAAACAGGAUUAGAUACCCUAGUAGUC
RNAcentral lists this ribosomal RNA (465 nucleotides) under uncultured bacterium. RNAcentral's name for it is "partial 16S ribosomal RNA". It matches the Rfam family "Bacterial small subunit ribosomal RNA", at positions 338 to 795 of the family's 1533-position model. The record is from RNAcentral.